UCCAGGGUAGCCUAGUGGACAUGGCAUCUGCCCGGUAAGCGGAACAUUGUGGGUUCGAUUCCCAUCCCUGGAA
Molecule: non-coding RNA, 73 nt
Organism: Cordylochernes scorpioides
Lineage: Eukaryota; Metazoa; Arthropoda; Arachnida; Pseudoscorpiones; Chernetidae
Source: the annotation of a GenBank genome assembly